Molecule: long non-coding RNA, 1249 nt
Organism: Ostrinia nubilalis (European corn borer)
Lineage: Eukaryota; Metazoa; Arthropoda; Insecta; Lepidoptera; Crambidae
Exons: 3
Source: RefSeq, a predicted model, not a curated record
ACGGCCGAAUACUGAAACACUACUCAAAUCUGUCACUCAGCUGACGGGCUCCUAAAUUUAAGUAUCCUUCAAUUUUAAAUGGUAUUCUCAAACGCCACUUAACGGAUUUGAAGCCGUGAUCAGCUAAGCAGCUCUCAAAUGUUUACAUAAUGGCAACAUUUACCAAAAAAAGUAUGUUUUCAAUUACACAAAUGAUGACUUUAUGUUGCGUAUCCAUUACACGCAGCAUCGUUUGGUUAAGUAUUGUCUUUUAUGCAAAUAUACUCUAUCAACUCACAUAGAACAGUAUAUUUUUAGUUUCCUUAAUUUAAAGCCCGUUUUAUUACAUGAAAUGAAUGCUUGUAUUUUUAUUUUAUUUAAAAAGUGAUACUUUUUAUGUUGAAAUCGAUUAGGCGGUGAUCGUGGAACGAAACGUUACCACAAUUGACAUUCAAAUACAUUGUUGACAGAGCGUCCCGCGCGCAACAAUUUGAAUUGUUUUAUUAAGUUUAUUUAUUAAAGAUUAGUAAGAAUGGAAGAUAAUAAAAAGAAACGCGGUUUAAAUUACACAGCAUCUGAAAAGGAAUUGCUGUUAGAUAUAAUCAAGAGGUGAGUAAACAAUGAAAUCUAAACAUGAUUGAACAAUGUUGCGAUCUUGUAAUUAUAUUAAUUGCUAAACACACUUUUGGCAGGUGUUUUAAUUGUUCUUGGCCCAUACCAAGAGUAAAUAAAACAUAAGUCACAACUUAUGCGUACAUUUCUGUACUUAAAUUUCUUAUUGACAACCUUUAUUUUCAGUUAUCAGCAUAUUAUAGAAAAUAAAGAAACAAAUGCGCAAAUGAUAAUUAAAAAGCGCGAAGCUUGGGAUUGUAUUUGUGAAAAAUAUAAUGCUGUUGCUAUGAGUGGCUGUAGGACAUGGCAACAACUACGCCACCUCUAUGAAAAUCUCAAACAGAGGUCUAAGAAAAAUAUUGCCAAAGCCAAUCGUCUUCAGUUUUAUGAAAAAACUAGAGAAAUUCAAAAGAAGGCAUCUCUUGACAAGGAGAUACAGAAAACCAAAAUACAUGUGACCAAACAGAAGAGAACAUGUCAUCUAAUGUUAUAAUAAUGAACACUGAUCUUGGUAAUUAGUUAAUUAUUAUACUUCUUAAAGUUUGCUUCAUGACAUAAUAAGUUUUAUUUUAUUGUAGAUCAUGACUAUGAAACGACCACGGCCAAAACAAAUUGUGUCGAAGAAGAUAAUAAUAAUAUUAGUGAACUUUGCACAGUU